GAGUUUGAUCGUGGCUCAGAACGAACGCUGGCGGCAUGCCUAACACAUGCAAGUCGAACGGGAUCCAGGCUUCGGCCUGGUGAGAGUGGCGGACGGGUGAGUAACGCGUGGGAACCUGCCCAAUGGUCUGGGAUAACCGCGGGAAACUGCGGCUAAUACCGGAUAAGCCCGAGAGGGGGAAGAUUUAUCGCCGAUGGAGGGGCCCGCGUCCGAUUAGGUAGUUGGUGAGGUAACGGCUCACCAAGCCGACGAUCGGUAGCUGGUCUGAGAGGAUGAUCAGCCACACUGGGACUGAGAUACGGCCCAGACUCCUACGGGAGGCAGCAGUGGGGAAUAUUGGACAAUGGGGGCAACCCUGAUCCAGCAAUGCCGCGUGAGUGAUGAAGGCCUUAGGGUUGUAAAGCUCUUUUGGCGGGGACGAUGAUGACGGUACCCGCAGAAUAAGCCCCGGCUAACUUCGUGCCAGCCGCCGCGGUAAU
Molecule: ribosomal RNA, 479 nt
Filed under: uncultured Alphaproteobacteria bacterium
Lineage: Bacteria; Pseudomonadati; Pseudomonadota; Alphaproteobacteria
Description: bacterial SSU rRNA
Rfam family: Bacterial small subunit ribosomal RNA
Source: RNAcentral